UAGUUGCAAGGUAUAGACCCGAAACCCGGUGAUCUAGCCAUGGGCAGGUUGAAGGUUGAGUAACAUCAACUGGAGGACCGAACCCACUAACGUUGAAAAGUUAGGGGAUGACCUGUGGCUAGGAGUGAAAGGCUAAUCAAACCGGGAGAUAGCUGGUUCUCCCCGAAAUCUAUUUAGGUAGAGCCUCGGACGAAUACUUACGGGGGUAGAGCACUGUUAAGGCUAGGGGGUCAUCCCGACUUACCAACCCUUUGCAAACUCCGAAUACCGUAAAGUAAUAUCCGGGAGACACACGGCGGGUGCUAACGUCCGUCGUGAAGAGGGAAACAACCCAGACCGCCAGCUAAGGUCCCAAAGUCAUAGUUAAGUGGGAAACGAUGUGGAAAGGCCCAGACAGCCAGGAGGUUGGCUUAGAAGCAGCCAUCCUUUAAAGAAAGCGUAAUAGCUCACUGGUCGAGUCGGUCUGCGCGGAAGAUGUAACGGGGCUAAACUAUGCACCGAAGCUGCGGAUUCAGAAUUUAUUCUGAGUGGUAGGGGAGCGUUCUGUAAGCGGUUGAAGGUGUACCGGGAGGUAUGCUGGACGUAUCAGAAGUGCGAAUGCUGACAUGAGUAACGAUAAUGGGAGUGAAAAACUCCCACGCCGGAAGACCAAGGGUUCCUAUCCCAUGUUAAUCAGGGUAGGGUAAGUCGACCCCUAAGGCGAGGCCGAAAGGCGUAGUCGAUGGGAAACAGAUUAAUAUUUCUGUACUCGAUAUAAUUGCGAUGGGGGGACGGAGCAGGCUAAACAAGCAUGGCGUUGGUAGUCCAUGUGAAAGUGAGUAGGUUGGCGACUUAGGUAAAUCCGGGUUGCUAUUAAGACUGAGACACGAGACGAGUCACUAAGGUGAUGAAGUUGUUGAUGCCAUACUUCCAGGAAAAGCCUCUAAGCUUCAGAUUAUAUGGAAUCGUACCCCAAACCGACACAGGUGGUCAGGUAGAGAAUACUAAGGCGCUUGAGAGAACUCGGGUGAAGGAACUAGGCAAAAUCGUACCGUAACUUCGGGAGAAGGUACGCUCCUAUCUGUGAUGAGACUUGCUCUCUAAGCGGACGGGAGCCGCAGUGACCAGGUGGCUGGGACUGUUUAUUAAAAACACAGCACUGUGCAAAAUCGCAAGAUGACGUAUACGGUGUGACACCUGCCCGGUGCCGGAAGGUUAAUUGAUGGGGUUAUCCUUAGGGAGAAGCUCUUGAUCGAAGCCCCGGUAAACGGCGGCCGUAACUAUAACGGUCCUAAGGUAGCGAAAUUCCUUGUCGGGUAAGUUCCGACCUGCACGAAUGGUGUAACCAUGGCCACGCUGUCUCCACCCGAGACUCAGUGAAAUUGAAAUCGCAGUGAAGAUGCUGUGUACCCGCGGCUAGACGGAAAGACCCCGUGAACCUUUACUACAGCUUGGCACUGAACAUUGAACCUACAUGUGUAGGAUAGGUGGGAGACUUUGAAGCAGCGACGCUAGUUGUUGUGGAGUCGUCCUUGAAAUACCACCCUUGUAGUUUUGAUGUUCUAACGUUGGCCCCUGAAUCGGGGUUACGGACAGUGCCUGGUGGGUAGUUUGACUGGGGCGGUCUCCUCCUAAAGAGUAACGGAGGAGCACGAAGGUUGGCUAAGUACGGUCGGACAUCGUACGGUUAGUGUAAUGGUAGAAGCCAGCUUAACUGCGAGACAGACACGUCGAGCAGGUACGAAAGUAGGUCAUAGUGAUCCGGUGGUUCUGAAUGGAAGGGCCAUCGCUCAACGGAUAAAAGGUACUCCGGGGAUAACAGGCUGAUACCGCCCAAGAGUUCAUAUCGACGGCGGUGUUUGGCACCUCGAUGUCGGCUCAUCACAUCCUGGGGCUGAAGUCGGUCCCAAGGGUAUGGCUGUUCGCCAUUUAAAGUGGUACGCGAGCUGGGUUUAGAACGUCGUGAGACAGUUCGGUCCCUAUCUGCCGUGGGCGUUUGAGAAUUGAGAGGGGUUGCUCCUAGUACGAGAGGACCGGAGUGAACGAACCGCUGGUGUUCGGGUUGUCAUGCCAAUGGCAUUGCCCGGUAGCUACGUUCGGAACUGAUAAGCGCUGAAAGCAUCUAAGCGCGAAGCAGGCCUCGAGAUGAGUUCUCACUAGACUUUUAAAGUCUCUGAAGGGCCGUUGAAGACUACAACGUUGAUAGGCAAGAUGUGGAAGUGGUGUGAGCCAUUAAGCUAACUUGUACUAAUUACCCGUGAGGCUUAACCAU
RNAcentral lists this ribosomal RNA (2251 nucleotides) under Pseudoalteromonas sp. TB25. RNAcentral's name for it is "bacterial LSU rRNA". It matches the Rfam family "Bacterial large subunit ribosomal RNA", at positions 697 to 2925 of the family's 2925-position model. RNAcentral also lists the same sequence under 1 other name. Lineage: Bacteria; Pseudomonadati; Pseudomonadota; Gammaproteobacteria; Alteromonadales; Pseudoalteromonadaceae. The record is from RNAcentral.